GACGAACGCUGGCGGCGUGCUUAACACAUGCAAGUCGAACGGAAAGACCCUGCUUUUGUUGGGCUCUCGAUUGCCGAGCGGGGGAGUAACACGUGAGUAACCCCCCCUUAACUUUGGGGUAAAUUCAGGAAACUGCGGCGAAAACCGCAUAGGAUCUCCUGCUCCACGUGGGGGUUUGGAAAGUUCCGGUGGUGGGGGAUGGAUUCGCGGCUUACCCGCUUGUUUGGGGGGUAGUGGCUUACGAAGGCUUCGACGGGUAGCCGGCCUGAGAGGGUGACCGGCCACAUUGCGACUGCGAUAGGGACCAGACGCCUACGGUAGGCAGCAGGGGGGAAUAUUGCGGAAUGGGCGGAAGCCUGAUGCAGAAACGCCGGGUGCGGGAUGCCGGCCUUUGGGUUGUAAACCGAUUUCGCAUGUGACGAAGCGGGCUUGACGGUAAUGGGUAAAGAAGCAACGGCUAACUACGUG
RNAcentral lists this ribosomal RNA (468 nucleotides) under uncultured bacterium. RNAcentral's name for it is "partial 16S ribosomal RNA". It matches the Rfam family "Bacterial small subunit ribosomal RNA", at positions 28 to 507 of the family's 1533-position model. The record is from RNAcentral.